AUAGCUUUUUUUGCACUUGUAUUGGCAAUUCAAAGGCCAAGCAAUGCAUUGAAAAUACUUGAAGAUCCAAUCUGCGAAGAAGUGAAUGAUUGUUUUGAGUAUUGCGAAGAUUUUAUAGAUGGGAUUGCGCGAUAUGCAACCCGAGAGUGUUGUGACAAUUUACUUAUAUUGAAUGGCAGGGUGAAAUAUGUGGACAAUGGAGUUCGUAGGUAUUGUUAUUGCAUUGAAGAUUUCACUAAUAGCCAUUACCAUCCUCCUUAUCUUCAGAAUCGGAUUGGAGAUCUUACUGCGAUUUGUGGUAUUCAUCGUAGUUUUCCCAUUUCAGAACACAUGGAUUGCUCUAAGCUUUAGCAAGAGCUUUGAGGAAGUUGUUCGUUCGACUCUGAUGCUAUAUCAAUUAGAAUAUCAUUUAUUUUCUUUCCUUUUCCUCAACUUUAAUUGGAAGUAUAAUGAUAUGCGUAAAUGACAGUA
This is a long non-coding RNA of Nicotiana attenuata, 471 nucleotides long. RefSeq lists it as uncharacterized. The record is from RefSeq and is a predicted model, not a curated record. The transcript has 2 exons. NCBI's taxonomy places the organism in Eukaryota, Viridiplantae, Streptophyta, Magnoliopsida, Solanales, Solanaceae.